GGGUUGUGAGGUUAAGCGACUAAGCGUACACGGUGGAUGCCCUGGCAGUCAGAGGCGAUGAAGGACGUGCUAAUCUGCGAUAAGCGUCGGUAAGGUGAUAUGAACCGUUAUAACCGGCGAUUUCCGAAUGGGGAAACCCAGUGUGAUUCGUCACACUAUCAUUAACUGAAUCCAUAGGUUAAUGAGGCGAACCGGGGGAACUGAAACAUCUAAGUACCCCGAGGAAAAGAAAUCAACCGAGAUUCCCCCAGUAGCGGCGAGCGAACGGGGAGCAGCCCAGAGCCUGAAUCAGUGUGUGUGUUAGUGGAAGCGUCUGGAAAGGCGCGCGAUACAGGGUGACAGCCCCGUACACAAAAAUGCACAUGCUGUGAGCUCGAUGAGUAGGGCGGGACACGUGGUAUCCUGUCUGAAUAUGGGGGGACCAUCCUCCAAGGCUAAAUACUCCUGACUGACCGAUAGUGAACCAGUACCGUGAGGGAAAGGCGAAAAGAACCCCGGCGAGGGGAGUGAAAAAGAACCUGAAACCGUGUACGUACAAGCAGUGGGAGCACGCUUAGGCGUGUGACUGCGUACCUUUUGUAUAAUGGGUCAGCGACUUAUAUUCUGUAGCAAGGUUAACCGAAUAGGGGAGCCGAAGGGAAACCGAGUCUUAACUGGGCGUUAAGUUGCAGGGUAUAGACCCGAAACCCGGUGAUCUAGCCAUGGGCAGGUUGAAGGUUGGGUAACACUAACUGGAGGACCGAACCGACUAAUGUUGAAAAAUUAGCGGAUGACUUGUGGCUGGGGGUGAAAGGCCAAUCAAACCGGGAGAUAGCUGGUUCUCCCCGAAAGCUAUUUAGGUAGCGCCUCGUGAAUUCAUCUCCGGGGGUAGAGCACUGUUUCGGCAAGGGGGUCAUCCCGACUUACCAACCCGAUGCAAACUGCGAAUACCGGAGAAUGUUAUCACGGGAGACACACGGCGGGUGCUAACGUCCGUCGUGAAGAGGGAAACAACCCAGACCGCCAGCUAAGGUCCCAAAGUCAUGGUUAAGUGGGAAACGAUGUGGGAAGGCCCAGACAGCCAGGAUGUUGGCUUAGAAGCAGCCAUCAUUUAAAGAAAGCGUAAUAGCUCACUGGUCGAGUCGGCCUGCGCGGAAGAUGUAACGGGGCUAAACCAUGCACCGAAGCUGCGGCAGCGACGCUGAUGCGUUGUUGGGUAGGGGAGCGUUCUGUAAGCCUGUGAAGGUGUGCUGUGAGGCAUGCUGGAGGUAUCAGAAGUGCGAAUGCUGACAUAAGUAACGAUAAAGCGGGUGAAAAGCCCGCUCGCCGGAAGACCAAGGGUUCCUGUCCAACGUUAAUCGGGGCAGGGUGAGUCGACCCCUAAGGCGAGGCCGAAAGGCGUAGUCGAUGGGAAACAGGUUAAUAUUCCUGUACUUGGUGUUACUGCGAAGGGGGGACGGAGAAGGCUAUGUUGGCCGGGCGACGGUUGUCCCGGUUUAAGCGUGUAGGCUGGUUUUCCAGGCAAAUCCGGAAAAUCAAGGCUGAGGCGUGAUGACGAGGCACUACGGUGCUGAAGCAACAAAUGCCCUGCUUCCAGGAAAAGCCUCUAAGCAUCAGGUAACAUCAAAUCGUACCCCAAACCGACACAGGUGGUCAGGUAGAGAAUACCAAGGCGCUUGAGAGAACUCGGGUGAAGGAACUAGGCAAAAUGGUGCCGUAACUUCGGGAGAAGGCACGCUGAUAUGUAGGUGAAGUCCCUCGCGGAUGGAGCUGAAAUCAGUCGAAGAUACCAGCUGGCUGCAACUGUUUAUUAAAAACACAGCACUGUGCAAACACGAAAGUGGACGUAUACGGUGUGACGCCUGCCCGGUGCCGGAAGGUUAAUUGAUGGGGUCAGCGCAAGCGAAGCUCUUGAUCGAAGCCCCGGUAAACGGCGGCCGUAACUAUAACGGUCCUAAGGUAGCGAAAUUCCUUGUCGGGUAAGUUCCGACCUGCACGAAUGGCGUAAUGAUGGCCAGGCUGUCUCCACCCGAGACUCAGUGAAAUUGAACUCGCUGUGAAGAUGCAGUGUACCCGCGGCAAGACGGAAAGACCCCGUGAACCUUUACUAUAGCUUGACACUGAACAUUGAGCCUUGAUGUGUAGGAUAGGUGGGAGGCUUUGAAGUGUGGACGCCAGUCUGCAUGGAGCCGACCUUGAAAUACCACCCUUUAAUGUUUGAUGUUCUAACGUUGACCCGUGAUCCGGGUUGCGGACAGUGUCUGGUGGGUAGUUUGACUGGGGCGGUCUCCUCCUAAAGAGUAACGGAGGAGCACGAAGGUUGGCUAAUCCUGGUCGGACAUCAGGAGGUUAGUGCAAUGGCAUAAGCCAGCUUGACUGCGAGCGUGACGGCGCGAGCAGGUGCGAAAGCAGGUCAUAGUGAUCCGGUGGUUCUGAAUGGAAGGGCCAUCGCUCAACGGAUAAAAGGUACUCCGGGGAUAACAGGCUGAUACCGCCCAAGAGUUCAUAUCGACGGCGGUGUUUGGCACCUCGAUGUCGGCUCAUCACAUCCUGGGGCUGAAGUAGGUCCCAAGGGUAUGGCUGUUCGCCAUUUAAAGUGGUACGCGAGCUGGGUUUAGAACGUCGUGAGACAGUUCGGUCCCUAUCUGCCGUGGGCGCUGGAGAACUGAGGGGGGCUGCUCCUAGUACGAGAGGACCGGAGUGGACGCAUCACUGGUGUUCGGGUUGUCAUGCCAAUGGCACUGCCCGGUAGCUAAAUGCGGAAGAGAUAAGUGCUGAAAGCAUCUAAGCACGAAACUUGCCCCGAGAUGAGUUCUCCCUGACUCCUUGAGAGUCCUGAAGGAACGUUGAAGACGACGACGUUGAUAGGCCGGGUGUGUAAGCGCAGCGAUGCGUUGAGCUAACCGGUACUAAUGAACCGUGAGGCUUAACCUUACAACGCCGAAG
Molecule: ribosomal RNA, 2925 nt
Filed under: Escherichia coli
Lineage: Bacteria; Pseudomonadati; Pseudomonadota; Gammaproteobacteria; Enterobacterales; Enterobacteriaceae
Description: bacterial LSU rRNA
Rfam family: Bacterial large subunit ribosomal RNA
Source: RNAcentral